UACGUAGGGGGCAAGCGUUGUCCGGAUUUACUGGGGGUAAAGGGUGCUCAGGUGGACUUUUAAGUCAGAGGUGAAAUCCCAAAGCUUAACUUUGGAGCUGCCUUUGAUACUGAAAGUCUUGAGUUUGAUAGAGGGCAAUGGAAUAUCUGGUGUAGCAGUGAAAUGCGUAGAUAUCAGAUAGAACACCAAUGGCGAAGGCAGUUGCCUGGCUCAAAACUGACGCUAAAGCACGAAAGUGUGGGGAGCAAACAGG
This 253-nucleotide ribosomal RNA is filed under the name uncultured bacterium. RNAcentral's name for it is "partial 16S ribosomal RNA". It matches the Rfam family "Bacterial small subunit ribosomal RNA", at positions 524 to 776 of the family's 1533-position model. The record is from RNAcentral.